UCCAUAACUGAAGCUUCCUAAUCUUUGGAAUUCAUUGUCCAAAAUCACCAUGUAUAGCCCUUUGUUCACCACCAUCAUCACUAUAGAGGAUGGCUCUACCGACGUGUGAGGUUAUUUCUGCAUUUGAAGCUCUUUCUUUUUCUUCAUCAUCGUCAUCUCCCACCAACAUCUCCAUGUUCACAUGGAUCUCCUUGAGUGGGUUGGGAUGAUAGAUGAGACAAAGAUGGUUUUGUAAGAAUCAUGAUAUGGCUUUGAGACUCUUGGAAGCUACUUAUAGAUUUUGAAGUUACAUUUUUUUUUUCAAAAAAAAAAAAAAAAUAUUGUAAUAUGUGGUUCUCAUUUUGUUUGUAUGAUCUAACUUUGAGUAAGUUAGUAUAUAUUAUAAUUAGUGUGAGAAGAUAUGAAUUAUUUUUUAAAUUCUUUUUUUGAAGGCCAUGUUUGGAAGUUGAAAUUUUGGUGUGGAAAGAAAAUGUCAAGGUAAAAAGAGUGUAGAGAACGAAAAAAAUACAACAUAGGUCAUGUGGCAUUCUCCAUGCAUUAUUUCUAUGUUUUUUUUUUCA
Long non-coding RNA from Cannabis sativa, 560 nucleotides. RefSeq lists it as uncharacterized. Lineage: Eukaryota; Viridiplantae; Streptophyta; Magnoliopsida; Rosales; Cannabaceae. The record is from RefSeq and is a predicted model, not a curated record. The transcript is spliced from 3 exons.